RNAcentral lists this ribosomal RNA (468 nucleotides) under uncultured bacterium. RNAcentral describes it as "partial 16S ribosomal RNA". It matches the Rfam family "Bacterial small subunit ribosomal RNA", at positions 28 to 507 of the family's 1533-position model. The record is from RNAcentral.
GACGAACGCUGGCGGCGUGCUUAACACAUGCAAGUCGAACGGAAAGGCCCUGCUUUUGUGGGGUGCUCGAGUGGCGAACGGGUGAGUAACACGUGAGUAACCUGCCCUUGACUUUGGGAUAACUUCAGGAAACUGGGGCUAAUACCGGAUAGGAGCUCCUGCUGCAUGGUGGGGGUUGGAAAGUUUCGGCGGUUGGGGAUGGACUCGCGGCUUAUCAGCUUGUUGGUGGGGUAGUGGCUUACCAAGGCUUUGACGGGUAGCCGGCCUGGGAGGGUGACCGGCCACAUGGGGACUGAGAGACGGCCCAGACUCCUACGGGAGGCAGCAGUGGAGAAUAUUGCACAAUGGGCGGAAGCCAGAGGCAGCAACGCCGCGUGCGGGAUGACGGCCUUCGGGUUGUAAACCGCUUUCGCCGGUGACGAAGCGUGAGUGACGGUAAUGGGUAAAGAAGCACCGGCUAACUACGUG